GGCGGCAGGCCUAACACAUGCAAGUCGAGCGGCAGCACGGGUACUUGUACCUGGUGGCGAGCGGCGGACGGGUGAGUAAUGCCUAGGAAUCUGCCUGGUAGUGGGGGAUAACGCUCGGAAACGGACGCUAAUACCGCAUACGUCCUACGGGAGAAAGCAGGGGACCUUCGGGCCUUGCGCUAUCAGAUGAGCCUAGGUCGGAUUAGCUAGUUGGUGAGGUAAUGGCUCACCAAGGCGACGAUCCGUAACUGGUCUGAGAGGAUGAUCAGUCACACUGGAACUGAGACACGGUCCAGACUCCUACGGGAGGCAGCAGUGGGGAAUAUUGGACAAUGGGCGAAAGCCUGAUCCAGCCAUGCCGCGUGUGUGAAGAAGGUCUUCGGAUUGUAAAGCACUUUAAGUUGGGAGGAAGGGCAUUAACCUAAUACGUUGGUGUCUUGACGUUACCGACAGAAUAAGCACCGGCUAACUCUGU
RNAcentral lists this ribosomal RNA (475 nucleotides) under uncultured Gammaproteobacteria bacterium. Its description in RNAcentral is "bacterial SSU rRNA". It matches the Rfam family "Bacterial small subunit ribosomal RNA", at positions 38 to 506 of the family's 1533-position model. Lineage: Bacteria; Pseudomonadati; Pseudomonadota; Gammaproteobacteria. The record is from RNAcentral.